Molecule: ribosomal RNA, 374 nt
Filed under: uncultured organism
Description: partial 16S ribosomal RNA
Rfam family: Bacterial small subunit ribosomal RNA
Source: RNAcentral
GGAGGGUGCAAGCGUUACUCGGAUUUACUGGGCGUAAAGCGCGCGUAGGCGGUUUGGCAAGUCUGAUGUGAAAGCCCUGGACUCAAUUCAGGAAGUGCAUUGGAUACUGUCAGACUGGAGUACAGGAGGGGUGAGCGGAAUUCCAGGUGUAGAGGUGAAAUUCGUAGAUAUCUGGAGGAACAACGGUGGCGAAGGCGGCUCACUGGACUGUAACUGACGCUAAGGUGCGAAAGCGUGGGGGGGAGCGAACGGGAUUAGAUACCCCGGUAGUCCACGCUGUAAACGAUGGACACUAGGUGGCGGGAGCUUUACCCGUCUCGUUGCCGCAGCUAACGCAUUAAGUGUCCCCGCCUGGGAUUACGGCCGCAAGGUUA